GACGAACGCUGGCGGCGUGCCUAAUACAUGCAAGUCGAACGCAGUGGGGACGGGUGAGUAACACGUGGGUAACCUCCCAUCAGAGGGGAUAACACUUGGAAACAGGUGCUAAACCGAUCCUGAUGGAUGGACCCGCGGUGCAUUAGCUAGUUGGUGAGGUAACGGCUCACCAAGGCCACGAUGCAUAGCAGCGCUGAGAGGGAGAUCGGCCACACUGGGAAUGAGAAACGGCCCAGACUCCGACGGGAGGAAGCAGUAGGGAAUAUUGGGCAAUGGACGAAAGUCUGACCGAGCAACGACGCGUGAGUGAAGAAGGUUUUCGGAUCGUAAAACUCUGUUGUUAGAGAAGCGGUAUCUAACCAGAAAGACACGGCUAACUACGUGCCAGCAGCCGCGGUAAUAC
Molecule: ribosomal RNA, 403 nt
Filed under: uncultured bacterium
Lineage: Bacteria
Description: partial 16S ribosomal RNA
Rfam family: Bacterial small subunit ribosomal RNA
Source: RNAcentral